GGCGUGCCUAAUACAUGCAAGUCGAGCGAACGGACGAGAAGCUUGCUUCUCUGAUGUUCUCGGAGGACGGGUGAGUAACACGUGGAUAACCUACCUAUAAGACUGGGAUAACUUCGGGAAACCGGAGCUAAUACCGGAUAAUAUUUUGAACCGCAUGGUUCAAAAGUGAAAGACGGUCUUGCUGUCACUUAUAGAUGGAUCCGCGCUGCAUUAGCUAGUUGGUAAGGUAACGGCUUACCAAGGCAACGAUGCAUAGCCGACCUGAGAGGGUGAUCGGCCACACUGGAACUGAGACACGGUCCAGACUCCUACGGGAGGCAGCAGUAGGGAAUCUUCCGCAAUGGGCGAAAGCCUGACGGAGCAACGCCGCGUGAGUGAUGAAGGUCUUCGGAUCGUAAAACUCUGUUAUUAGGGAAGAACAUAUGUGUAAGUAACUGUGCACAUCUUGACGGUACCUAAUCAGAAAGCCACGGCUAACUACGUGCCAGCAGCCGCGGUAAUACGUAGGUGGCAAGCGUUAUCCGGAAUUAUUGGGCGUAAAGCGCGCGUAGGCGGUUUUUUAGUCUGAUGUGAAAGCCCACGGCUCAACCGUGGAGGGUCAUUGGAAACUGGAAAACUUGAGUGCAGAAGAGGAAAGUGGAAUUCCAUGUGUAGCGGCGAAAUGCGCAGAGAUAUGGAGGAACACCAGUGGCGAAGGCGACUUUCUGGUCUGUAACUGACGCUGAUGUGCGAAAGCGUGGGGAUCAAACAGGAUUAGAUACCCUGGUAGUCCACGCCGUAAACGAUGAGUGCUAAGUGUUAGGGGGUUUCCGCCCCUUAGUGCUGCAGCUAACGCAUUAAGCACUCCGCCUGGGGAGUACGACCGCAAGGUUGAAACUCAAAGGAAUUGACGGGGACCCGCACAAGCGGUGGAGCAUGUGGUUUAAUUCGAAGCAACGCGAAGAACCUUACCAAAUCUUGACAUCCUUUGACAACUCUAGAGAUAGAGCCUUCCCCUUCGGGGGACAAAGUGACAGGUGGUGCAUGGUUGUCGUCAGCUCGUGUCGUGAGAUGUUGGGUUAAGUCCCGCAACGAGCGCAACCCUUAAGCUUAGUUGCCAUCAUUAAGUUGGGCACUCUAAGUUGACUGCCGGUGACAAACCGGAGGAAGGUGGGGAUGACGUCAAAUCAUCAUGCCCCUUAUGAUUUGGGCUACACACGUGCUACAAUGGACAAUACAAAGGGCAGCGAAACCGCGAGGUCAAGCAAAUCCCAUAAAGUUGUUCUCAGUUCGGAUUGUAGUCUGCAACUCGACUACAUGAAGCUGGAAUCGCUAGUAAUCGUAGAUCAGCAUGCUACGGUGAAGACGUUCCCGGGUCU
RNAcentral lists this ribosomal RNA (1358 nucleotides) under uncultured bacterium. RNAcentral's name for it is "bacterial SSU rRNA". It matches the Rfam family "Bacterial small subunit ribosomal RNA", at positions 41 to 1381 of the family's 1533-position model. The record is from RNAcentral.